RNAcentral lists this long non-coding RNA (683 nucleotides) under Pan paniscus (pygmy chimpanzee). RNAcentral's name for it is "lncRNA (ENSPPAG00000044854.1)". The record is from RNAcentral. Lineage: Eukaryota; Metazoa; Chordata; Mammalia; Primates; Hominidae.
UCUGCAGCUUCAGCCUUCAGCCCUCUUCUUCCUGCCGAGGCGAGGGGGCUGCUGGGAGGUUUUGGUCCUGCAGACUCGAGAGUCGCUGGGAGGAGAGGAGAGUAUGUCGGCCCCAGGUCCCGGGCUCUGCUCCUGCGCUCUGGCCUCGGGUUUCUCUGGGCGUAGGAGAGGAGGGCAGGGAUCCUGUGAAUAAAAUGGCGCAGACGUGCUUGUGCAGCUUUCCUGCUGGAGUCCAUGAGCGUCUCGAGGAUUUGGUGAGUUGUGAGAUUUCCACACAUUCAAAGGUGGGAGGCAAUUCCAAAUUGCUUUCCAGAGUGGGUUUUUACAAAUGGACAAGCUAAUGAGCAUUCCCAUUGCUCUGAAACCUCACCAAUAAUUGGUAUCUCCAUUUUUUUGACAAUCUGGUGGGUAAUUGUAUAUUGUGGUUUAACUUAAAUUUUCUCCAUAUUGAUGUGCUAGAGUUCCUUGGCGUGUUUACUGGCUACUGCAGGUUCAUUAUCUGAAAGUCAAUUGUUUUGGCCUAUUUCUGUAUUGCAAUGUUUGCCUUUUAAAGAUACUGAUUUAUAGGAGUUCUUUAUAUUUCCUGGAUUUGCACCCUUGACUUAGUUCCGGGUUUCCAACUUUUUCCCACACCCUGGCUUGUCUUUUCUCUUUCUUUAGCAUGUCUUUUGCUGAACAGCGAC